AGCAGUAUAGGUUAAAGGAAUAUGUGUCAGAAAUUAUAAGGAGAGCGAACAUCAUGGUGGCGAUGGUGGCAGCAAGGCGGCGAUGGUGACAGACCGCAACGAUAGCGGGUGAAACGGCGGCGGCGGCAAGCGCGGACCGCGAUUCCCCUUCAUGCUGUUCACAGGGAUGGUCACGGACUCCGAAACAUGACCGCGAAACAUGAUCCCCCCUUUCAUCUACCUCGACGCACCGCAAGAUUCCUUAAUCCCCGUGACAGCAUUUCCCCGCGCGCCUCCAAAUACCCCCCCCCCCCGCAACCCAUUCCCCCCUCGGAGCUCCCGAGUCAAAACCGCUUUAUAAUAACUAAUUACUUAGUAACAUAACUAAAUAAAUAAAUAAAUAACCUGCAAAAGCCUCUUGUUGAACACUGUCUAACCUACAAGACUCCCUCAAAUAAUUUACCACUCAAAUUACACUCCUGAGGGGCAGCUUACUCCCCAGGACGUAACAGGGCCAAUUAAAAAAACAACUAUUCAUAAAAAAUUUAUUUAUUUAUUACUUUUUAUUAUUACUUUUAAUUAAAAUUAAUUAAUACUUUUUAAUGUUAAAAUGUUACAUUCAAUAACAUGGUUCUGUAUACAUUAUUAAAUAGUAUAUAUUAUUAUAAUGGUAAAGCGUUUUGAUUAACAUAUUAUUGUACCCGUUAGAUCGGUCCGCUAUCCUGAUCAAUCGAUAUAUUGAUUUUUAGAAAGAACGUUGUCAGCUGUCGUAAAGCUUGACAACGCAGAUAAACAAUGGAGUUGAAGCUCGGUCUCGCACUAAGACUGAUGUUUCUGUGAAUGUUCGCUUGUGUUUAUAAUUGAUAGUCUUUUAAAGUCUUAAAGUGUAGUGUGUGUUUCUUAUUUACAUCCACGACCACGCGUAACAUUUUAGAAGCUCGUCCGUGAUAGGACGAGCGAAUGAGCAAACAAACCAACGAAAAGGAAAAAAAAUGUAAUUCUGAGUAAUGACCACACAUUUCCCGAGAAAGACUCACAAUCAGUCUCAGACACCGGUGGAUGCGACGGCGGAGGCCGAUUCGCUACGUGCUGUAGGAAUUGCAGCAGCUGAAAAAGGAGAGGCGUCUGAAACGUCAGCAGCUGCAACGGUUCCAGAAAGAAAUGCAGUCCCGUUCUCCGGAAAAAGACGAGACCUUAAAACGAGGAGCAACUCAAACCAGCUAGUUGCUCCAAUAAUAUUUUCGCGGGCAAUAAUUCGACAAACGCGACGCAAAUAAAUUUUCCAUACGCAAGUGUAAACGCGGGCGGAGGUCAGGCGUCACUCGAUUUUAAAGUUAAGCCUGACGAUUUUAACGAGGUGGUGCCACUGCGUAAACAGUUGGGAUAAGAUCGCGAAAACAAUGUUAUUGAGGCUCUAAUGUUAUGCUUGCGCGGAAAAAAGAAAAGAAUGUUGAUUGUGUAGAGACACGGGACAUUUUCGCGCGGAAUGCCCGUCGCUUCGAGAGAAAAAUUGAAUUUUGUAGGGGAGAGCAGGGUCGUGAUUCCUGGAGCAUCGCGAUUAAAAAAAAUCCAUCUAGAAGAGAAAGAGAAAGAGAAAGAGAAAAAGAGAGAGAGAGAGAGCUGGAUGUUGAGACCUGAAACAACAGGCUUAGUAACUCGAGCAGCAGUCCAAGGUAGAGCAGGAGUCGUGGUUCCGGCUGGAAAUUUUUCUUCAAUAGUUAGUUGUCGGGACGACAACUUGCGAAGAAGGGUCAGUGUCAAUCAGUUAGUCCUGUGGCUAAUCAAUAUUUUGAUUUUUGAGAAAAGCGUUGUCAGCUGUCGUAAGUUUGACAACGCAGAUAAACAGAGUUGAAACUCGGUCUCGCGCAGAUGAACAUUUCUGUGAAACGCUUGUGUUAAUAGUUAAUGACGUCUUUUGAAUUGCUUAAAGUGUAGUGUAUGAGUGUUUCUUAUUAAGUCAGCGACCGUACGUAACAAUAUCAAUAUUAUACAGAAACCAAAAAAGCAUGAUAAAGAUAAAUGUUUUAUUUUAAAAAAAAUUUGGCGCUGCUAUAGGAAAAUAAUAAAAACGGUUUAUUGUAACAGAUACAUUUAUUGUAACAGAUAACAGAUACACAAGAGCAAUCAAUAUUUGCGCUUGGAGACAGACGUGUCAAAUAUCACUCCGCAGAAAUCAGUUUUUUUUAUGGAUACAUAUUGCCGUUAAAUGUUAAAGUUCUAACAAAAGUGACUAUAGACAGAGAGUAACUAUAAGUGUUAUUUAGUAAAGUUAUGCUAAACUAUGGACUGUAAGACAGAAUUUUUAUUCUGGAAUUUCAGUUCUUGGACGGCAGUCAGUCAAUAGUGCUGACGUGCACUGACGUGUGUUACUGUGUAAAUAUGUAUCAUAUCGGUAUAAUCGACAGGUUUGGCGCCGAUCAUGUAGAAUACAGGUUCUGCAUGCAAGAACAUUAAAAACAUUGCGGUACAGUGUACAAAGUGUAGAAAACUCUUUUACCAUCCUGAGUGUAUCAAGCAUAAAAUCUAUAAUAGUAGACAAGAGUUUGUGAAAUACGAAGGUCCUUUUAAAGAAAUAAGAAUCGAAAGUAAAAAGGAAAAAAUGUGAAAAAAACAACUGAAAGAAGUAAUAGAGAGAAGACAAAUUCCAUAGAAGCCACGAGGUCAACUGCAAGUACGUCAAGAAAUGCAGGUAGGCAAUGACUGAUACAAAGAUCGACUAGUUAGAGAAAAAAAGUGAGAAAAAUAAAUUAAAUGUAAUGCUAAAAAUCGGAAUACGGAAGGAGUUAUUUUAUAUAUGAAAAGUAAUACAUAAAGUACUUUUAAUUUAAAAAAUAAUACAUAACUGACGACGAUAAAAGUACGGGACAAUAUAGGUUGCGCACAGCCAUGGACGAUAAUAAACACUCUCAUUGACACUUUACUUUUGGUAGUUCAAAAAGACUAUUAAUUACAAUCUUUCAUGUAUUAAAAAGGGCAUCCGCCCUUGCGCACAAUCGGGCUACAACAUCGUUGUUUAUCAGCGUUGUCAAGCUUACGACAGCUGACAACGCUCUUCCCAAAAAUCAAUAUAUCGAUCAGUGAGCGCAGCUCCAAGGGGCGCAACACUAUGUAUAAAAAAGUAGUAACAGUAAUAUAUCACUCAUCAAGUGCAUCAAAUGGGUAUUUUUAAGAUUCUUAGAAGAAAUAGUGGAAUUAUUUGACGUCAGUAAACCUAGCACUCCCACCACUAAAAAAGUUAGAAAAUACCGUAUAAUUUUCUGCUAAUUAUCUGUUAAUUUUCUGCCCUAGUCCCGAAUUUUUGCUUUUACACGCUCGUAGAAAAUUAAGAUCAAAAGUGAGGAUGCUAAGUUCACGUAACGGUAGCACCCCCACUAUGUAAAGAAAAACAAAAAAAUUAAUAUAAUAAAAUUUUUUGCUCAUUUUCUGGUCUAAGAAACUGUAAAAAAAUAUCAAAAUAUUGAACGGUUAUCAAAAUACCGGUACUUUUAAAACCAUCGUACCGCAAUAAUAUAAAAAAAAAGGUUAAAAAUAGAAGCUAACAAUACCACGACAACUUAUAAAGUACUUCCUUAAUCAAAUACUCGUAAAAUACACAAGUUUAAAAUGUUUAACUUGCACAAUACCUUUAAAAAGCCUUAAGGGGCUACAUACACCUAGAGACGUAAAAAAUAGGUUUUCUUCUCGAUUUUUUUUUUGAAACGUAACGUAUGUAAUUAAUCCUAGUUUUCUUUACUUUAAAAUACAUUCUUAAAACAUGUUUCAGAAUAAAUUUAAAUUAAAAAUAUUUAAAAAUGGCGGAAAUAUUCCUCGUCGCCUUGUUGAAGACCUUGUUGAAAAAAGGUGCUUCGCGGUACCAAUUGCAACUCGUACAGGACUUAUCUAAAACAGACCAGCCUAAAAUUUUCUUAAACUGUAUGAAAUUAUCUAGUCUUUAUCGGGGCCGAUUUUUAAAAUAUCGAUUUUUUGCAAAAUGGCGGCAGUUUUAAAAAAAUCGAUUUUUUAGGAUAAAAAUCAGUCGUUUUUUAACUGUAAAAAAAGUAAGAGCUGUAAAAAAAACCGCCAUAAUAAAAACUGCCUUUUUGUGUAGAUUAAGCCCUCCAAAUUUCAAGUAAAUCGGUCCAGCCAUUUUCGAGAUAUUUUUAGUACGCGUUUCGAAAACAUGGUUUCGAAAAAAACGCGUUUAAAGUUUGACAUUCGGUUAAAACAUAAAUAAUUUUUUUCAAACUUAUAUGGAGUCAUCCACUCCAGAGCCAUACAAUAAACCCUCCCUAGAUGUAGCGGCAUCAAAGGCUUCGAUCCUAGCUUGCCGGCGUAAUAUUUUUGCAUAAGCUACCUGCUGCAAAGAAUUAGGGGCGCCCGUCGCGCCCGAGCGUCGUCGAACGCACUUGGACCUUUC
Molecule: long non-coding RNA, 4375 nt
Organism: Monomorium pharaonis (pharaoh ant)
Lineage: Eukaryota; Metazoa; Arthropoda; Insecta; Hymenoptera; Formicidae
Exons: 2
Source: RefSeq, a predicted model, not a curated record